This 285-nucleotide long non-coding RNA is filed under the name Olea europaea (common olive). RNAcentral's name for it is "long non-coding RNA (OEUR_LNC004037)". The record is from RNAcentral. Lineage: Eukaryota; Viridiplantae; Streptophyta; Magnoliopsida; Lamiales; Oleaceae.
UUUAAAACUACGUGUCUAUAGAAGACAACUUUUUAGACCAAGAACUUCUAAUUGAGGUGCUUUUGUUGGGGUGGGAUGGAGUGAAGGUGAGAGCGUGUGUUUCUUUUAUCUUUCAAGUGUAAAUUGAUACGGGAUCGUGCUACGGUUUAUAAAUACAUAACUUUUGAGUAGUCAAAUUUCAUGUCUCACAUUGAUAUUGGCAAGGAGAAGUGAAUCAUGAUAUUAAUCUUUAAUAGAUUAAGAAUAUUGAGUAGUUAAAUUUUAUGUGUUAGGUUGAUAUUGGCG